RNAcentral lists this ribosomal RNA (463 nucleotides) under uncultured bacterium. Its description in RNAcentral is "bacterial SSU rRNA". It matches the Rfam family "Bacterial small subunit ribosomal RNA", at positions 28 to 507 of the family's 1533-position model. The record is from RNAcentral.
GAUGAACGUUGGCGGCGUGCCUAAUACAUGCAAGUCGAACGGAGAUUGUAGCAAUACGGUCUCAGUGGCGAACGGGUGAGUAACGCGUUGGUGACCUGCCCCGAAGUGUGGAAUAACAGAUCGAAAGAGCUGCUAAUACCGCAUAAUAUCCAGAGGACUAGAUGCCUUUGGAUUAAAGGAUUUAUUCGCUUCGGGAGGGGCCUGCGUCCCAUCAGCUAGUUGGUAAGGUAAAGGCUUACCAAGGCUAUGACGGGUAGGGGACCUGAGAGGGUGGCCCCCCACAAUGGAACUGAAACACGGUCCAUACACCUACGGGUGGCAGCAGUAGGGAAUAUUAGUAAUGGGCGAAAGCCUGAACUAGCAACGCCGCGUGUGCGAAGAAGGCCUUCGGGUUGUAAAGCAACUUUUUGAGAGGAUGAGGAAGGACGGUACUCUCAGAAUAAGUACUCGGCUAACUAACGUG